CCCUUAGAUGUCCGGGGCCGCACGCGCGCUACACUGAGUGGAUCAGCGGGUCAGGUUGCGCGAAAGCGUUUCCUAAUCUUUAAAUCCGCUCGUGAUGGGGAUUGACGGUUGCAAUUUUCUGUCAUGAACGAGGAAUACCUUGUAAGCGCGGGUCAUCAUCCCGCGCUGAAUACGUCCCUGCCCUUUGUACACACCGCCCGUCGCUCCUACCGAUUGAGUGGUCCGGUGAGGCUUUGGGAUCUGAGCGGAAAGAGCGUUUCGCUGUUUCUGCUCGGAAAACUCAGUCGAACCUUAUCAUUUAGAGGAAGGAGAAGUCGUAACA
RNAcentral lists this ribosomal RNA (322 nucleotides) under uncultured eukaryote. RNAcentral describes it as "partial 18S ribosomal RNA". It matches the Rfam family "Eukaryotic small subunit ribosomal RNA", at positions 1470 to 1796 of the family's 1831-position model. The record is from RNAcentral.